Molecule: long non-coding RNA, 1787 nt
Organism: Anolis carolinensis (green anole)
Lineage: Eukaryota; Metazoa; Chordata; Lepidosauria; Squamata; Anolidae
Exons: 3
Source: RefSeq, a predicted model, not a curated record
CCACACUCCUCUCGAGUGUCCUCCCUCGCCCACACGCCUCACGAGUUGCUACUUCCGGGAACACAGGCGUUCCGCUUCGGCGUAGCCACUGCGCAUGCGCCAACGUCAUUGCUUCGGAUGUUCUUCUUCAUGUUGCUGGAUUUGGAGUGGCAAUACACUUUAAGGUGGCAAGGAUACAGAAGCUCUUUCGGAAAAAAAAAACCCAGUGGCAAUUCUGAAACAACUGCUUCAGCUCUACAGUCCAAUAUCCAACCAACAACAUAACUUUUAUUUCAAGUAACUCUGGCCAAGGUGGAGAAAUGGAAACUGUACUGGAUUGAACACAUCUCGGAGAGGCAAAGUAUGAAGUGUUGAUUAUUACCUUUAAAACAUGAAUGGUUUGGGUCCCGGUCACCUACAAGAGCUUCUCAGAUCCUCUGAAGGGCACUUACUCCAGUCAUCCAGGACUAGGCUGGCAAUAGUCACCAUCAGCUACUACUAGAUCGUGAAACAUCCUGCUAGAAAAGAUUUGACAGCUGGGUAUGCUUUCUGAAUUUAAAACAGCAAUAAAGAUCUCUCUUUAGCCGGCCUAUCCAGAUGAUUUUUAAAUUAUGAAUUUUAAACUGUAUACUGAUUGUUUUAAAUGUGUUGCUCCUAUAUGUUCUUUUAAACUGCUUUUUGAACUGGUUUAUGUGUUUUAUAACUGAUGGAUCAUGUUGCAUUUUAAUAUGUUGCUGUCCCCUGCCUUGAUCCAUAGGAGGCAGGUAAGUAAUAACAGCAACAACAACAACAACAACCACAAACGUGGGUUGUUGUGAGUUUUCCAGGCAGUAUGGUUUCCAGACUUCAUUAGCUACAAGCCGCAAGACAUUCUCAGUCUGGAUCAUUCUUUUCUGGAAUAUUUGUGCAACACAGCCUUGGAAGUCAUAGACUUAUUGAGAUGGUUAAAUUGCAGACCACACAAAUCAUGUGCCGAGGAGAUAUUUACUAAUUUUGUUUUGCUUCAGGCAGUUGUGUGGAUGACGAAUAAGUGACAGAGCUUGUUCCUAUUUUUUGGUAGUUUAAGGAAAAAAACUCUGAAUGAUUUCUAUUUCACUCAGAAGCCACUUUCCGCAUCUUUGUGCUCUGUAGCUACACACCUACACAGAGAAAGCAAGAGAGAGAGCAGAACAAAGGGCACAUGGACUGAAAUAGAGCUUCCACAUAAUUGUUGCCAAAACACAAUAAAAAACAAGCAUCCAGAAGAAAGGAAUAAUAAUAACAACAACAAAAACAACAACAACAACAACAACAACAACUUGGUGCCACAAAUACCAUCUGCCUGUGACAAAGAAUUGGUGGUAUCACAAGCUUGAAAAAGUUACAGAAAAUGUACACGUCAAACUAUUCUUGGACUUUCAAAUUCAGACAAAGUUUUGGAGCACAAUACCCUUGACCUCACAAUCAUGUUAAAAAAUGAAGUGCGGAUCGUCGAUGUUGCAAUCCCAGGUGACAUCAGAAUCGAUGAGAAGCAACUGGAAAAGCUGAUGCGAUAUGAGGAUUUAAAGAUCGAAGUGCAAAGACUCUGGCACAAGCCAGUAAAGGUGGUCCCAGUGAUGAUUGGCACACUGGAUCCAGUGCCUAAAGACCUUGGCCAGCACUUGAAAACAACUGGCACUGACAUAAUUACCAUCAGCUGCAAAAGGCCACCCUACUCGGAUCUGCAUGCAUUAUUUGACGAUACAUCACAUAGUCCUAGACACUUGGGAAGUGUCCAGUGUGUGAUCCAAUACAACAGCCAGCAUAGUGAUCUUGCUUGCUGAGUACUA